RNAcentral lists this long non-coding RNA (387 nucleotides) under Panax ginseng (ginseng). RNAcentral describes it as "long non-coding RNA (PGIN_LNC005310)". The record is from RNAcentral. Lineage: Eukaryota; Viridiplantae; Streptophyta; Magnoliopsida; Apiales; Araliaceae.
AUGGUCGUCUCUCUCUCCCAAUCUAAAACUCAACAAUUUUAGAUCUCCAAAAAUUAGGAUUUUGUAAAUUGAGACCGAAAUAUAGAUGAUGGAGAUGAUAAGCAAAAUCUGAGCCUUUUAGAUCGUGGGUGUUUCUCUGUGUAGGUUUGUAGGAAUUUUUCAUCCGAGUGUGUUUUAGUCUUGAAGUUAUGAUCUAGAGCGGUUGAUAUUUCGGGGAUGUUUUAAUUUCGGGUUGGUGUUUUGGAAGACAGUUCCAUUCCGGAUUUGGGUUGUUCAUCCGGUGUUUUUCUCGAUGUUGUUUUUGUGCUUCCGUUCUGGUCUUUAUGCUUUAAUGCUUAUGUGUUGUAUUGUUCAGAUUUGGAUGUUUUUAAUGGUUAUGUUAUGUCC